Molecule: small nucleolar RNA, 87 nt
Filed under: Sorex araneus (European shrew)
Lineage: Eukaryota; Metazoa; Chordata; Mammalia; Eulipotyphla; Soricidae
Description: Small nucleolar RNA SNORD14 (ENSSARG00000016566.1)
Rfam family: Small nucleolar RNA SNORD14
About the family: U14 small nucleolar RNA (U14 snoRNA) is required for early cleavages of eukaryotic precursor rRNAs.
Source: RNAcentral
UCGCUGUGAUGAAUGAUUAUUAAACAUUCGUAGUUUCCACCAAAAGUUUAGCUAAUGAUGGCCUAACUUCCUUGGAUGUCUGAGCGA